GCUCGAAAAAAGAAUUUUAGUUCCGCUCAAAGUUAUCUUAAUAUAUUAAUAUAAAACCUUAACUUUGAAGUAAUUCAAAUAAGGUACAGCCUAUUUGAAACAGGAUUCAACCUUCAACAACGGGUAAUUCACUAAACAUUAAAUCAAGUGGGCCUAAAAGCAGCCACCUUAAAAAAGCGUCAAAACUUAAUUUAUUUUUACCAUAAUAACCUAAUUUUUAUUGACCCCUUCAACCCCAUCGAGCACUUCUAUAUAGCUAUAGAACUUUUUAUGUUAAAACUAGUAACAAGAAGAAAUCCUUCUCUUCAAUGUAACUUUAACUCAGCAAGGACCCACCACUGGCAAUUAACAACUUCAACAAAGUAAUACCACCCCCAGAAAACCUUACUUUUUUCAUUGUUAACCUAACACAAGAACAUUUCAAGAAAGAUUAAAAGAAAAAGAAGGAACUCGGCAAAUGUCAGCCCCGCCUGUUUACCAAAAACAUCGCCUCCUGCUCUAAUAUAGGAGGUCCAGCCUGCCCAGUGACUCUUGUUUAACGGCCGCGGUAUCCUAACCGUGCGAAGGUAGCGUAAUCACUUGUUUUUUAAAUAGAGACUAGUAUGAAAGGCACCACGAGGGCCAAACUGUCUCCUUUUUCUCAUCAGUGAAACUAAUUUCCCCGUGAAGAAACGGGGAUUCCCUUAUAAGACGAGAAGACCCUAUGGAGCUUUAAACUUUACAGCACUUGCACCUCCACAAUCUCACUUUCAGAAAUCUACCUCAUCACCAACAUACUGCCUUACAGUUUUCGGUUGGGGCGACCACGGAGUAAAAAUUACCCUCCGUAAUGUAAAGACUUCAUCUUUAGUAAAAAGCCACAGCUUUAUACAACAGUAAACUGACAUGCAUUGACCCAAAAUAUUGACCAACGAACCAAGUUACCCUAGGGAUAACAGCGCCAUCCACUUUGAGAGUUCCUAUCGACAAGUGGGCUUACGACCUCGAUGUUGGAUCAGGGUAUCCUAGUGGUGCAGCCGCUACUAAUGGUUCGUUUGUUCAACGAUUAAAACCCU
RNAcentral lists this ribosomal RNA (1055 nucleotides) under Oreobates lehri. RNAcentral describes it as "partial 16S ribosomal RNA". The stretch from base 400 to 1055 matches the Rfam family "Archaeal large subunit ribosomal RNA", at positions 1423 to 2666 of the family's 2987-position model. Lineage: Eukaryota; Metazoa; Chordata; Amphibia; Anura; Strabomantidae. The record is from RNAcentral.